GCCACGGUGGUCUAGCGGUUAGAACGCUGGCCUUGUAAUCCUGGGGUUUUGGGUUCGAUUCCCGGCGGUGCCC
RNAcentral lists this transfer RNA (73 nucleotides) under Zootermopsis nevadensis. It matches the Rfam family "tRNA". From Rfam's summary of the family: Transfer RNA (tRNA) molecules are approximately 80 nucleotides in length. Their secondary structure includes four short double-helical elements and three loops (D, anti-codon, and T loops). Lineage: Eukaryota; Metazoa; Arthropoda; Insecta; Blattodea; Termopsidae. The record is from Rfam by way of RNAcentral.